CAAUAGCGUAUAUUAAAGUUGUUGCAGUUAAAAAGCUCGUAGUUGGAUUUCGGGGUGGCCUGGCUGGUCCGCCGCAAGGUGAGUACUGGUCAGCCGCCCUUCCUCUCGAAAGCCCCGACUGCUCUUUACUGCAGUGGUCGGGUGGUUCGGGACGUUUACUUUGAAAAAAUUAGAGUGUUCAAGGCAGGCUAUCGCCUGAAUACAUUAGCAUGGAAUAAUGGAAGAGGACCUCGGUCCUAUUUUGUUGGUUUCUAGGGCCGAAGUAAUGAUUAAGAGGGACAGUUGGGGGCAUUCGUAUUUAAUUGUCAGAGGUGAAAUUCUUGGAUUUAUGAAAGACGAACUAGUGCGAAAGCAUUUGCCAAGGAUGUUUUCAUUAA
Molecule: ribosomal RNA, 377 nt
Filed under: uncultured eukaryote
Lineage: Eukaryota
Description: partial 18S ribosomal RNA
Rfam family: Eukaryotic small subunit ribosomal RNA
Source: RNAcentral